This 729-nucleotide ribosomal RNA is filed under the name uncultured eukaryote. RNAcentral describes it as "SSU rRNA". It matches the Rfam family "Eukaryotic small subunit ribosomal RNA", at positions 671 to 1426 of the family's 1831-position model. The record is from RNAcentral.
CGCGUGCACUGGUUCGGCCGGGCCUUUCCCUCUGGGGAGCCGCAUGCCCUUCACUGGGUGUGUCGGGGAACCAGGACUUUUACUUUGAACAAAUUAGAUCGCUUAAAGAAGGCCUAUGCUCGAAUACAUUAGCAUGGAAUAAUAGAAUAGGACGCGUGGUUCUAUUUUGUUGGUUUCUAGGACCGCCGUAAUGAUUAAUAGGGACAGUCGGGGGCAUCAGUAUUCAAUUGUCAGAGGUGAAAUUCUUGGAUUUAUUGAAGACUAACUACUGCGAAAGCAUUUGCCAAGGAUGUUUUCAUUAAUCAGGAACGAAAGUUAGGGGAUCGAAGACGAUCAGAUACCGUCGUAGUCUUAACCAUAAACUAUGCCGACUAGGGAUCGGACGAUGUUAUAUUUUGACUCGUCCAGCACCUUACACGAAAGUAAAGUUUCUGGGUUCUGGGGGGAGUAUGGUCGCAAGGCUGGAACUUAAAGAAAUUGACGGAAGGGCACCACCAGGGGUGGAGCCUGCGGCUUAAUUUGACUCAACACGGGGAAACUCACCAGGUCCAGACACAAGUAGGAUUGACAGAUUGAGAGCUCUUUCUUGAUUUUGUGGGUGGUGGUGCAUGGCCGUUCUUAGUUGGUGGAGUGAUUUGUCUGCUUAAUUGCGAUAACGAACGAGACCUUAACCUGCUAAAUAGCCCGCAUUGCUUUGGCAGUGCGCCGGCUUCUUAGAGGGACUAUCGG